ACCGCAUCGGCCACGCGGCCGGGUCCCUAGGGCGGGCCAUCUCCUCGCCUCGACCGCGCCGCCUCCAGGCGUCCUCGCCGCAUCCCGGGCCGCCGCAUCGACCUCCCCACUCCUGCGUACGUCGCGCAGCACCGCCGCCGCGAGGCUUCUCCCCGCCCCCGCGUUCGUCGCAAGGCGCCGCCGGCUUCCCCCUCCCCUAACGCCACCACCUCUUCCUCCUCCUUCCCUUCCCCACCUGCGGCUGCCACCUUACCUUCUGCUAGCCCUCAAAUCUCGCCUCCGCCGCCAACUCCGGCCGCGAAUCGGGCCUCGGAUCGGCGCGGGCGCGCCAAUUGAUGUCCGAUCUGUGACGAGGGACAGCCCCCACCACCUCCUUCUCCGCGUCCGCGCCAGGUGCCGCCGCCCCUCCUCCAUCCAGGUGACGCCACCUCUCCUCCGUCCAGGCGCCGCCGCUCCGCCUCCCCGUUUCCGACGCGAUCUGCAACGACGCCUUCACCUCGGCCACCACUCACUUCUGCAUCCACCACGGUGUAUCUUUUGGGGGGGAGAGCCUUUGCCGCUCCCUCACUCUCUGUGUCACGUAUCUCCUCGGUUGCUGAUUCCCCGCUCGUUUGUCGCCAUUGCCGCACCUCGUGCACUGUGAAGGUUCAGAAGAGCUACUACCUGGUGAGCCUUGUUGACAACGACUACAUCCACGGGGAUCUGUUUGCCGCCUUCAAGGAGCUCUGAUCACCAAGAUCCAAUCCAUGCUGUUCUCUUCGCCAAACUUUGUUGGCCCAGGAGUCCUGAUCUGCUAGGUUUGCUUCAGUCCAUACGCUGGCACCGUCGUCUACAGCAUCGUGCUCCCCGCCUCGAGCUAGGCACUACAACCUGCGUGCAA
Molecule: long non-coding RNA, 880 nt
Organism: Panicum virgatum (switchgrass)
Lineage: Eukaryota; Viridiplantae; Streptophyta; Magnoliopsida; Poales; Poaceae
Exons: 3
Source: RefSeq, a predicted model, not a curated record